RNAcentral lists this long non-coding RNA (279 nucleotides) under Canis lupus familiaris (dog). RNAcentral's name for it is "lncRNA (ENSCAFG00000036475.3)". Lineage: Eukaryota; Metazoa; Chordata; Mammalia; Carnivora; Canidae. The record is from RNAcentral.
UGGUAGCGCUGGACCCCAAGGACUGGACCAAAGGCAGGGGGAGGUGUUCCAGCUGCACCUUCGGUUUUUCUUUCUCCACAGCACAUUCUCUAGGCUGGACCCUGGUGGCCCGGGACAGGUGACCGAGGAAGAUCGCCCACCGAGACUCCUGUUGUGCAGAAGUGCUUCGUGGCUUUGAGGAGGUGGAGCUCCCAACACCUGGGUUCCUCAGCCAGACUGCCUCGUGGACCACUCCUUAAAAGACCCAGGGCUCCUCCCAGCUGACCCUGAAGAGGGAAG